AGUCAAUCUCCCUGUGGUCCAAACCAGCUGUCUCCACUCGAGUGGGCUGAAACACAUGUGGAUAUUCAGGUUCUGCUGGUUAAUUUGUGGCAGAGCACUUGCUCGAGAGAUUUUCAUACGGGACCUACAUGGGAAAUCCCUGAUUGACACCCAUAACACAGGUUGCGUGCAGACAGACUUUACUGGAGUCUUAACCCAAAGACACCAUCAGCCAUACAGUCUCCAAACUACCACUCCUGGUAAACUUUCCAUGUAGUCAGCACUAAUUAACCACAUUUCACAGUCAUAAUGAUAAAGGAUCCCAUCUAAAUCGACAACAGAUGCACCGCACUGCGUUCAGUUACGCUGCUGCUGAUUAAACUGCUGACAG
Dicentrarchus labrax (European seabass) is the source of this 370-nucleotide long non-coding RNA. RefSeq lists it as uncharacterized. The record is from RefSeq and is a predicted model, not a curated record. The transcript is spliced from 3 exons. Lineage: Eukaryota; Metazoa; Chordata; Actinopteri; Moronidae.